RNAcentral lists this long non-coding RNA (582 nucleotides) under Monodelphis domestica (gray short-tailed opossum). RNAcentral's name for it is "lncRNA (ENSMODG00000039635.1)". The record is from RNAcentral. Lineage: Eukaryota; Metazoa; Chordata; Mammalia; Didelphimorphia; Didelphidae.
CUGUUUACUGCUCCUAAGAAGUACUGUAUUUUGACACACCAGAAAGAGCGUGCUUCUACAUUCCUAUACAUUUGCAAAUUCCAUGGGACAGGGCCACAGAGUGAGGAUCUGCUGCCACAGCCUUUUCGAUCCCAGGAAUGAUGGCUUCUUGAGUAAUUAUGAAUGAUGAAGUAAUCAAAGUUUUUAAUGACAUGAAAGUUUGGCCUAAACAAAUAGCCUGUUGAGGACCUUUUGGAUCCUGACUCUGUUACCCAGGGGGUUCCUCCUAACUUUGCUUCAUCUGAAGUUGUACUUUCCCCAUCACCACCUGGAUCUCAUGAGAAUUGGCUCAGCUUUGUUCUUUUCCCAAGAGAAUGUCGCAACCAAGUUCAUGUCCAGAGGCAGCAUUGCUGCCAGAUGAGUCUUUGUUUUAGCUGCUAUGACCACAACUCUCCCACUUUGCCACAUUAUAUGCCGGACCUGUAUUAUAUAUGUCUCCUAAGUAUGACUAAAUAAGUAGUAGUAUAUAAAUGUAAUGUAAUACUAUUGUUCCAUAAAGAAAUGAUGAAUAAACAGAAAAACCUAGGAAGACUUAUAUGAAGU